CAUGCCGCGUGCAGGAAGACAGCCCUCUGGGUCGUAAACUGCUUUUAUUCGGGAAUAAACCACAUUACGUGUAGUGUGCUGAAUGUACCGAAGGAAUAAGGAUCGGCUAACUCCGUGCCAGCAGCCGCGGUAAUACGGAGGAUCAAGCGUUAUCCGGAUUUAUUGGGUUUAAAGGGUGCGUAGGCGGCUUAUUAAGUCAGGGGUGAAAGACGGUGGCUCAACCAUCGCAGUGCCUUUGAUACUGAUGAGCUUGAAUACACUAGAGGUAGGCGGAAUGUGACAAGUAGCGGUGAAAUGCAUAGAUAUGUCACAGAACACCGAUUGCGAAGGCAGCUUACUAUGGUGUGAUUGACGCUGAGGCACGAAAGCGUGGGGAUCAAACAGGAUUAGAUACCCUGGUAGUCCACGCCCUAAACGAUGAAUACUCGCUGUUAGCGAUAUACAGUUAGCGGCUAAGCGAAAGCGUUAAGUAUUCCACCUGGGGAGUACGCCCGCAAGGGUGAAACUCAAAGGAAUUGACGGGGGCCCGCACAAGCGGAGGAGCAUGUGGUUUAAUUCGAUGAUACGCGAGGAACCUUACCCGGGCUUGAAAGUUAGUGAAUGAUUUAGAGAUAGAUCAGUGAGCAAUCACACGAAACUAGGUGCUGCAUGGCUGUCGUCAGCUCGUGCCGUGAGGUGUUGGGUUAAGUCCCGCAACGAGCGCAACCCCUAUGUUUAGUUGCCAGCACGUUAUGGUGGGGACUCUAAACAGACUGCCUGUGCAAACAGAGAGGAAGGAGGGGACGACGUCAAGUCAUCAUGGCCCUUACGUCCGGGGCUACACACGUGCUACAAUGGAUGGUACAGAGGGCAGCAAGCUGGCAACAGCAAGCGAAUCUCAAAAAGCCAUUCACAGUUCGGAUAGAGGUCUGCAACUCGACCUCUUGAAGUUGGAUUCGCUAGUAAUCGCGUAUCAGCAAUGACGCGGUGAAUACGUUCCCGGGCCUUGUACACACCGCCCGUCAAGCCAUGGAAGUUGGGGGUACCUAAAGUAUGUAACCGCAAGGAGCGUCCUAGGUAGUCCCAGG
This 1067-nucleotide ribosomal RNA is filed under the name Pedobacter sp. K3-D4. RNAcentral's name for it is "bacterial SSU rRNA". It matches the Rfam family "Bacterial small subunit ribosomal RNA", at positions 393 to 1472 of the family's 1533-position model. The record is from RNAcentral. Lineage: Bacteria; Pseudomonadati; Bacteroidota; Sphingobacteriia; Sphingobacteriales; Sphingobacteriaceae.